AAAGAUUAAGCCAUGCAUGUCUAAGUAUAAGCAAUUAUACAGCGAAACUGCGAAUGGCUCAUUAUAUAAGUUAUCGUUUAUUUGAUAGUACCUUACUACUUGGAUAACCGUGGUAAUUCUAGAGCUAAUACAUGCUGAAAAUCCCGACUCCGGAAGGGAUGUAUUUAUUAGAUUAAAAACCAAUGCCCCCGUGGGCUCGCUGGUGAAUCAUGAUAACUUCUCGAAUCGCAUGGCCUUGCGCCGGCGAUGGUUCAUUCAAAUUUCUUCCCUAUCAACUUUCGAUGUUUGGGUAGUGGCCAAACAUGGUUGCAACGGGUAACGGAGGGUUAGGGCUCGACCCCGGAGAAGGAGCCUGAGAAACGGCUACUACAUCCAAGGAAGGCAGCAGGCGCGCAAAUUACCCAAUCCCGACCCGGGGAGGUAGUGACAAUAAAUACUGAUACAGGGCUCUUUUGGGUCUUGUAAUUGGAAUGAGUACAAUUUAAAUCCCUUAACGAGGAACAAUUGGAGGGCAAGUCUGGUGCCAGCAGCCGCGGUAAUUCCAGCUCCAAUAGCGUAUAUUAAAGUUGUUGUGGUUAAAAAGCUCGUAGUUGAACCUUGGGCCUGGCUGGCCGGUCCGCCUCACCGCGUGUACUGGUCCGGCCGGGCCUUUCCCUCUGUGGAACCCCAUGCCCUUCACUGGGCGUGGCGGGGAAACAGGACUUUUACUUUGAAAAAAUUAGAGUGCUCCAGGCAGGCCUAUGCUCGAAUACAUUAGCAUGGAAUAAUGAAAUAGGACGCGCGGUUCUAUUUUGUUGGUUUCUAGGACCGCCGUAAUGAUUAAUAGGGACAGUCGGGGGCAUCAGUAUUCAAUUGUCAGAGGUGAAAUUCUUGGAUUUAUUGAAGACUAACUACNGCGAAAGCAUUUGCCAAGGAUGUUUUCAUUAAUCAGGAACGAAAGUUAGGGGAUCGAAGACGAUCAGAUACCGUCGUAGUCUUAACNAUAAACUAUGCCGACUAGGGAUCGGACGAUGUUAUUUUUUGACUCGUUCGGC
This 1034-nucleotide ribosomal RNA is filed under the name Claviceps paspali (paspalum staggers ergot). Its description in RNAcentral is "SSU rRNA". It matches the Rfam family "Eukaryotic small subunit ribosomal RNA", at positions 39 to 1084 of the family's 1831-position model. Lineage: Eukaryota; Fungi; Ascomycota; Sordariomycetes; Hypocreales; Clavicipitaceae. The record is from RNAcentral.